This 773-nucleotide ribosomal RNA is filed under the name uncultured Neocallimastigales. Its description in RNAcentral is "partial large subunit ribosomal RNA". It matches the Rfam family "Eukaryotic large subunit ribosomal RNA", at positions 20 to 644 of the family's 3401-position model. Lineage: Eukaryota; Fungi; Neocallimastigomycota; Neocallimastigomycetes; Neocallimastigales. The record is from RNAcentral.
ACUAGAGUAGCACUCGCAUAUCAAUAAGCGGAGGAAAAGAAACUAACAAGGAUUCCCCUAGUAACGGCAAGUGAAGCGGGAAGAGCUCAAAUUUGAAAUCUUAAAGGGUUUCCCUUUACGAAUUGUAGUUUAAAGAAGUGUUUUCUGUUGAGGUUUUGGUAAAAGUUCUUUGGAAUAGGACAUCAUAGAGGGUGAGAAUCCCGUAUUUGACCUUUACUUUCAACUUUGUGAUACACUUUCAAAGAGUCGGAUUGUUUGGGAAUGCAGUCCAAAAUGGGUGGUAAAUUUCAUCUAAAGCUAAAUAUUGGCGAGAGACCGAUAGCGAACAAGUACCGUGAGGGAAAGAUGAAAAGAACUUUGAAAAGAGAGUUAAACAGUACGUGAAAUUGUCAAAAGGGAAGCGUUUGACACCAGUGUUGUUUUUCUGAAAAUCAAUUAAAGAACUGUUUAUGCUAAGUUGUUUAGACUUUAUCAGCUAACUGUUUAGUUUUGAGCUUUUCUUUAAUGCACUUUUCAGUUAACAAGUCAACAUCAAUUUCUUUUGCUGUAAAAAAGCUUGAGGAAGGUGGCUUGAGAUUCGUCUUAAGUGUUUAUAGCCUCUUGCCUAUGCAGUCGGAGAGAUUGAGGUCUGCAGCGUAGAUCCUUCGGGGCUAAAUGCAUUUGUGCUAAGUUAUAGCAUUUUAUAGACAACUUGUUGACUAUGAUUUGUCUUGUAGCUUACUCGCUUAUGUUAUUUUACCUACGCUUAGGAUGUUGAACUACUGAGACAUAGA